Long non-coding RNA from Rosa chinensis, 725 nucleotides. RefSeq lists it as uncharacterized. The record is from RefSeq and is a predicted model, not a curated record. The transcript is spliced from 3 exons. NCBI's taxonomy places the organism in Eukaryota, Viridiplantae, Streptophyta, Magnoliopsida, Rosales, Rosaceae.
CCGCUGAGAAAAUCACAGCUCGCGGCAAAGCUGUGAAAAUCUUUCCUAGGCCUACUGCUGGACCUCUCCUACCAGUUGUUCGUGACAGACAUUGAAGUACGUAUAACAUGAAGGUCAGGGCUCUCCGUGGCUUCACUCUGGAAGAGUUGAAGGGGAACUUGCAGCAACGAUCGGGAUCUCGGUUGAUCAUCGCAGGAAGAACCAUUCUCUCAAGAGGUUUCAAGCCAAUGUUCUUGGCCUGAAGACGUACAAGCAGAAGUUGGUUAAUUGUCUUCCCAAGGCGCAAGUUUAACGCUGGUGAUUCUGCAGCAGAGGAGGUAGCAAAUGCAACCCCGCUCCAACGUCCUCUCUUGGCAAUUCAACAGGGGAAACGAGUCAGUCACUGAGCUUGUGAAGGUCACUGGAGAUAUGAAAAAAGUCAAUGCAUAUGAGUGAUAUGACAAGCUUGGUAUUGAGCGGGUCAGUGUCCGCCAUGUUGGGGCCAGGGCAAGGAAGAAAAGAAGUAGAAUGCUUGUGAACACGUGUUUUGCAAGGAUUAAUUGCUCAUGGCUUGCCAGAUCUUGCAGAUUAGCUUUGACCUAUUUUCUGGGACAUAUUCUGGAUCGAUCAUAUUUAGAUUUUGUAAUUUCAGGUCAGUAUGCGGAGGUUAGAGAUUUAAUGGUUUUUUGUUUUAUUGUUCAAGUUCUUAUUGGUGAUGAACUGCACUCCUUUGUAGUCUCAGCCUG